UGUAAACACAUCACAAGGUUCCUCCUGCC
RNAcentral lists this non-coding RNA (29 nucleotides) under Rattus norvegicus (Norway rat). The record is from RNAcentral. Lineage: Eukaryota; Metazoa; Chordata; Mammalia; Rodentia; Muridae.